RNAcentral lists this ribosomal RNA (388 nucleotides) under uncultured eukaryote. RNAcentral describes it as "partial 18S ribosomal RNA". It matches the Rfam family "Eukaryotic small subunit ribosomal RNA", at positions 592 to 976 of the family's 1831-position model. The record is from RNAcentral.
CAAUAGCGUAUAUUAAAGUUGUUGCAGUUAAAAAGCUUGUAGUUGGAUUUCUGAUCGAGACAUCAGGUCGGGUCCGAGAGGAUCAUGUACUUUGAUUUUGUUUUGAUCAUCCUUGGGGAGAGCAUUUCUGGCAUUCAGUUGUCGGGAUUGGGAUCCUCAUCGUUUACUGUGAAAAAAUUAGAGUGUUCAAAGCAGGCCUCGGCCUCUGAAUACAUUAGCAUGGAAUAAUAAGAUAGGACUUUGGUGGUCUAUUUUGUUGGUUUGCACGCCAAAGUAAUGAUUAAUAGGGAUAGUUGGGGGUAUUCGUAUUCAAUUGUCAGAGGUGAAAUUCUUGGAUUUAUGGAAGACGAACUACUGCGAAAGCAUUUACCAAGGAUGUUUUCAUUAA